GUGUGGAGGAGGGGUGAGGACAAGGAACAGAUGAGUGCUGCUGGGAUGUAUCAAAACGGGCAAAGAAGCAGUUUAGCUCCUCUGCCAGUGGUGCACUCAGG
Thalassophryne amazonica is the source of this 101-nucleotide long non-coding RNA. RefSeq lists it as uncharacterized. Lineage: Eukaryota; Metazoa; Chordata; Actinopteri; Batrachoidiformes; Batrachoididae. The record is from RefSeq and is a predicted model, not a curated record. The transcript has 4 exons.